GUUUACUUACAUGCAACAAAUACGGGAGAUAUUCUUUGCGAAUUGUACGAACCGUCAACCAGCAUGGAAUUUCGUUUAGAGGUUUACAACUUCACAUUGCAACUCGUUCAAAAUCCAUUGUCAUUUACCGCUUGUGGUUUUUUCAAUCUCGACAAUAGAUUGAUUUAUGGUUUAAUCGCUAGCUGUACAUCAUAUCUCGUUAUUCUCAUUCAAAUUGGGGGUACACCACAGCAAAUUUUCCAUAUCAAUUCUAC
This is a long non-coding RNA of Polistes dominula (European paper wasp), 254 nucleotides long. The record is from RefSeq and is a predicted model, not a curated record. Lineage: Eukaryota; Metazoa; Arthropoda; Insecta; Hymenoptera; Vespidae.